RNAcentral lists this ribosomal RNA (496 nucleotides) under uncultured bacterium. Its description in RNAcentral is "partial 16S ribosomal RNA". It matches the Rfam family "Bacterial small subunit ribosomal RNA", at positions 28 to 506 of the family's 1533-position model. The record is from RNAcentral.
GAUGAACGCUGGCGGCGUGCCUAAUACAUGCAAGUCGAGCGAACGGACGAGAAGCUUGCUUCUCUGAUGUUAGCGGCGGACGGGUGAGUAACACGUGGAUAACCUACCUAUAAGACUGGGAUAACUUCGGGAAACCGUAGCUAAUACCGGAUAAUAUUUUGAACCGCAUGGUUCAAAAGUGAAAGACGGUCUUGCUGUCACUUAUAGAUGGAUCCGCGCUGCAUUAGCUAGUUGGUAAGGUAACGGCUUACCAAGGCAACGAUGCAUAGCCGACCUGAGAGGGUGAUCGGCCACACUGGAACUGAGACACGGUCCAGACUCCUGCGGGAGGCAGCAGUAGGGAAUCUUCCGCAAUGGGCGAAAGCCUGACGGAGCAACGCCGCGUGAGUGAUGAAGGUCUUCGGAUCGUAAAACUCUGUUAUUAGGGAAGAACAUAUGUGUAAGUAACUGUGCACAUCUUGACGGUACCUAAUCAGAAAGCCACGGCUAACUACGU